Molecule: ribosomal RNA, 253 nt
Filed under: uncultured bacterium
Lineage: Bacteria
Description: partial 16S ribosomal RNA
Rfam family: Bacterial small subunit ribosomal RNA
Source: RNAcentral
UACGUAGGGGGCAAGCGUUGUCCGGAAUCAUUGGGCGUAAAGAGCGUGUAGGCGGCCCGAUAAGUCCGCUGUGAAAGUCCAGGGCUCAACCCUGGAAUGCCGGUGGAUACUGUCGGGCUCGAAUCCGGAAGAGGUGAGUGGAAUUCCUGGUGUAGCGGUGAAAUGCGCAGAUAUCAGGAGGAACACCAGUGGCGAAGGCGGCUUUCUGGUCUGUAACUGACGCUGAGGCGCGAAAGCGUGGGGAGCAAACAGG